This 331-nucleotide unclassified non-coding RNA is filed under the name uncultured fungus. RNAcentral's name for it is "partial contains 5.8S ribosomal RNA, internal transcribed spacer 2, and large subunit ribosomal RNA". Lineage: Eukaryota; Fungi. The record is from RNAcentral.
AACGCAUCUUGCGCUCUUUGGUUAUUCCGAAGAGCAUGCUUGUUUGAGUAACGGAAAAGCUCAACCCCGCUUUCUUUAAUUGGAAAGUAGUCUGGGUUUGGAUCAUGAUGUUUUGUUGUGCCUUUCGAGACACAACUGCAUUGAAAUAAAACAAGUCGAACUCUAUAAUAUCAGUUACGCAGGCUUCGGCUAGCUAUUGUUGUAUAACUUCGGUCUCAAUAGUGUUGCAAAAAAGAUAUUAUUGGCAGUAGCCUUACCACAAAACUGUAGCUUCGGCUAUAAAUUUUAUUAGCUUGUUCUCAAAUCAAGUAGGACUACCCGCUGAACUUAA